Non-coding RNA from Paramuricea clavata, 563 nucleotides. Lineage: Eukaryota; Metazoa; Cnidaria; Anthozoa; Malacalcyonacea; Plexauridae. The record is from the annotation of a GenBank genome assembly.
AGAGUGUCUGCUGUUAAAAUAAGUGUCUUGAGGUAGGAUAUGGCGCCUUGUGCCAUAUCUUUUGCAAUCUUUUCACCCAUUGUUCAAUAAUAGUAUAGGCUUAAUAAUUAGUCAUACUAAUGAGUAAUGGCCCGCUCGUAGGCGGCAAUGCUAGUUCGAAUGCUGUUAUUUAUGGUUGAAAUGAAUAACUGAUUAUUGAUAUCAGGCAUGUGUAUCGACGAAUUCGAUAAUCUAAUAUGGGAACGUCCCGUGGUUUGACCAUAUGGGAAGUUUGAACUGGUGUAACCAUUCGUUUAUUGUGAUGAAAGUGGUUUUAUCUACAGCGCCCCGUGAUAAAUAUGUCUUGGGAAGGCUUGAGCUGUGUCAAAUGAUUCAACCAGUGCCCCGUAGAAUGCUUGAUAAUACGGGAAGCUUGAACUGGUGUGACUGAUCGUUUAUUCAGUUAUAUGAAAGUGGUUUUAUCUACAGCGCCCCGUGAUAAAUAUGUCGUGGGAAGGCUUGAGCUGUAUGAAAUGAUUAAACCAGUGCCCUGUGGAAUGCUUGAUAAUACGGGAAGCUUGAAC